CUGAAACAAAAUCUGCUCAAAUCCCCCUCAUUAAAUGAUGAACGACUAUUUUACCGUUCAAAAUUUCACGCUCUUAAUUUCGAACGUUAGAGAUAAAAAAAUUUCCCGAAGAACUCUAGAAUACGCCUAUAAAAACCAAGCCAUUGCAGCCAACAGAGGAGGAGCUGGGCGGCCCCCUUCCAUCUCGCUUAGUCUUCAGUGACUAACUAUUCAAAGCUUAUCUUCUUCCUUGCUCUCUAAAAAUUCAGCUUUAAGUUUUCUCUGUCUUUUGAUCUCUAUUUAGUCCAUAGCCUUGCUAAAGCUUUUAUUUAUUUAUUUGCUGUGUCCGCGUUUGACGAUCUUCCGAAAGAGCUGAGCCAAAGUUGAAGAUCUUCUUGACGCCGCCCUCAAUUUACUGCCCUGCAAAAGGUCCGUAUUUUCUUAUUUUUCGUUUUUCUGGAAUUUAUAGUAUGUUCAUGUUUCAGUAUCUAUUUGGCAAUGAGCUCUUAAUUUUCUGAUAUUUUAUCUUUUGUCUGCAGUGCUUUUGUUGAUUUAUGACAUUAUUCUAUUUAAAGUUGUCAUGUUAUGCACAGUAGUUUUAUUGGAAAUCAUCCAAAUAUGUUCAUUUCUUUAUUUAGAUGAAUGCUGAAAUCAUGCCUUACAAAACUGUUUUUCUAACCAUAUACUGCUCGAAACAUGAAGGAUAACUAAUGUCAUUGUGUUUAUGUGAACUAUUCUAUUGUUCACAAAUCCAAGUAGUAGAAACCAUGUUCAGUACUUAAUUUUCUCUAUAAAAGUUAUGAUAAUUUAUAGUAUAAAGUUAGGGCCCCAUGAUUGAUACUUUGAUAAUUGCAAACUUAGUCUAAAAGCAUUCAGCUAUAACUCCUCCUUUGUUGCAAAUUUGUAGAAAUAAACUGAAAUGGAGGCUCUCAUCCAUUGAAUGAUUUAACAUAGAGUAAUUCUUGUCAGAUAAUGAGUUGUCCGCUAAUUUCUAUCCUUUAUUUUUUUUGCAUGUACACUUUAGACCAAAUAGAGUCUUAUUGCAAGACUCGCUGCCGCCGCCACCACCCGAAGUCCAUUAGCAUUGCGUUGUCUUCAAGUCGCUGCAUUUAAGUUGCAGCCAUAUGAUAAAAUUCAUCUGAACAACUGCUAUAUUUUCUUUAGCAUUCGUUUCAUUGAAUGUAAGAUUAUUUUCUUUAUAUUUUUUAUUCUUAUUGAGAGCUUAUAAAAUUUUGGAGUCGCCGUUAAGUUUUGUACUAAUUUAGGAUCACUAAUCAUUAAUUUAGUACUAUGUUCAUCACGUAAAACAUAGCAACUAGAUACUCCAUUUGGAAUUAAUUUUAAAAUGAUAUUUUCGGUAAGUCUAUACCCAGUUUGUAAAAGAGAAUUGUCCGUUGUACUUCAUAACCGAAGUUAUUUCUUUGAAUCUAAGUGUGAACUAAGAAAUUUUGUCAAAUUGUGUAAUUUUUUUUAUAUUAGUUAAGUCCAUAAAGUCUUUUCAAAAGACAACAUUUUCAAGCACUAUGAUUGUAGGACCGCUAAUCAUUUAACAAAUUUUCAUCAACGUCGUAACUGAGCCUAUUUGGAGGGAAGAAGAACAAAAAGCCUAUUUGUAGUAUCAUUAAUUAAUCUAAGUUCGACCGGCCAACCGUAAUUAGCGAAUCAUAUAGGGUGCUUUGAUAACCUUCCCUAUAGGAUUAAUUAGAAUUCUUACCUAGAAUUUUAAGGUUAAGCAGAUCAUAAAAUAGAGUUAAUUGUAAGCACUACUUAGCUAAAAUUGGUGUCCUAAUUCAUAAUUAAAAUAAUUAGGUGGAGACUCAAUUAAUUAAACUUGUAAAUGUUAUACUCUAGUUUGACCCGGGUUAAAAUGGGGUAUAACACAUAUGGUACUUAGAGCCGGACUUAGGACCUUUUCUUUGUGAGAGAUGAGAGAGUCCAUUUACCUCGAUUUGUGUGCAAAUACUCUAAAAGGUGAGGUUCACUUAGGGAAAGUCGAGGAUUUGUGAGUUUGGAUUGCACAAUGACAAAAAUAUUUGAGAAAGGUUCCUUGAUGAGAUGUGUCAACUCGUGAUGAUCUUAUGUCACACUAGAUCCACAAGUUUUUAAAGUUUUAAGUGUGUUAAUGAUGCAUUCGCGUUGAGGGCAAUUGUUAGCCCCAAUUGAUGCUUGUUGAGGUUACAUUAGGAUCAACAGGAAUUACUUGGGUGUUUUCCAUUGAGGGAUAUGUCUCAUUUUAUUUGCUUGGGGUCAAGCAAAGGUUUAAGUUUGGGGGAGUUGAUAACUGUAAUUUCUACAUGUUUUACACCCAUCCUUACCUAAGCUUUAUACAUUAAUUGCCAUAUAUUAGUCCCAAAAUGCUUACAUAUUGCACUUGAUUGCAGGUUUGAACGACAAGAUGACAAGUAUCAAAGAUCGGCUCAAAAAGGAGUGAAAUCUGCCAAGUGUCAAAAGACAACUAAAAUAAUAUCAAAAUGACCUGCGUGGUCCGCACUGCUUUGCAAUGCGGCCGUGCAUGAAAGUUCAGAGGCUGAGUUAUAUUAAGGUUACCCUGCGCGGUCCGCUCUGAUUUAACUCGCGUCCACACAGGAGAGUUCAGAGACCAUGAGAGUUUGAAGUCAAACAACCCGAGAGUAUUUGCUUGGGGUCAAGCAAAGGUUUAAGUUUGGGGGAGUUGAUAACUGUAAUUUCUACAUGUUUUACACCCAUCCUUACCUAAGCUUUAUACAUUAAUUGCCAUAUAUUAGUCCCAAAAUGCUUACAUAUUGCACUUGAUUGCAGGUUUGAACGACAAGAUGACAAGUAUCAAAGAUCGGCUCAAAAAGGAGUGAAAUCUGCCAAGUGUCAAAAGACAACUGAAAUGGGGAUCAAAAUGACCUGCGCGGUCCGCACUUCUUUGCAACGCGGCCGCAUAGGAAAGUUUAGAGGCUAAGUUAUAAUAAGGUUACCCUGCGCGGUCCGCACUGAUUUUUCUCGCGGCCGCACAGGAGAGUUCAGAGACCUUGCAAGUUUGAAGCCAAGCCACGCAGACCGCAGUCAAUUCCACGCGGUCCGCACUAAUGGAAGUCAGAGACCCUGAAAAUCAAGGCAAAUCCCACGCGUCCGCACACCAAAUCAGUGCGGUCCGCGUGGGUAAAGUUUAGAGAGUCAAUGUUUUGGGAAAAUUUUGCUACGCGGCCGCGUCCCAUUUCUACGCAGUUUGCGUGUCUCAGCCUACGCGGCCGCGUGACAUAUCUGUACGGCCCACAUCCCCCAGUUUCAAAAGCAAGACUUGGAGACUUAUUGCCCUCCACGGCCGCGUGACAUUUAUACGUAGUCCGCGCUAGACCCUAGGGGUAUUUUUAUCCGGUUUUUCCUAUGUAGUAUAAAUAGAAUAUUUUACUUUUUUAGGUCAAGUUUUAUUUUAUCAGAAAGAUUCUGAGUUCGAGACUUCAUAUUGUUAGCCUAGUUUAGGCAAUUUCUUCUAGUUUUAAAGUGGAUUCAAG
RNAcentral lists this long non-coding RNA (3461 nucleotides) under Nicotiana benthamiana. Its description in RNAcentral is "long non-coding RNA (NBEN_LNC006056)". Lineage: Eukaryota; Viridiplantae; Streptophyta; Magnoliopsida; Solanales; Solanaceae. The record is from RNAcentral.